ACCUCUAGCAUCAAAAGUAUUAGAGGCACUGCCUGCCCAGUGACUUAAGUUUAACGGCCGCGGUAUCCUGACCGUGCAAAGGUAGCAUAAUCACUUGUUCUUUAAUUAAGGACUUGAAUGAAUGGCCACACGAGGGUUCAACUGUCUCUUACUUACAAUCAGUGAAAUUGACCUCUUCGUGAAGAGGCGAAGAUGGACUAGCAAGACGAGAAGACCCUAUGGAGCUUAAAUUUACUACCCAACCUGCGCCCUACACCCCCAAACAGGUCCCCAACACCCGCACUUAUGGGUACACAAUUUUGGUUGGGGUGACCUCGGAGCACAAAACAACCUCCGAACUAUUCAUGCCUAGACACAACCAGUCAAAGCCCCUUAUAAGCAUAUUGACCCAAAAAUUGACCAACGGAACAAGUUACCCUAGGGAUAACAGCGCAAUCCUGUUCAAGAGUCCAUAUCGACAGCAGGGUUUACGACCUCGAUGUUGGAUCAGGACAUCCAAAUGGUGUAACCGCUAUUAAC
RNAcentral lists this ribosomal RNA (519 nucleotides) under Perodicticus potto (potto). RNAcentral's name for it is "partial 16S ribosomal RNA". It matches the Rfam family "Bacterial large subunit ribosomal RNA", at positions 1818 to 2569 of the family's 2925-position model. Lineage: Eukaryota; Metazoa; Chordata; Mammalia; Primates; Lorisidae. The record is from RNAcentral.